Mus musculus (house mouse) is the source of this 1616-nucleotide long non-coding RNA. RefSeq annotates it as predicted gene, 33389. The record is from RefSeq and is a predicted model, not a curated record. Lineage: Eukaryota; Metazoa; Chordata; Mammalia; Rodentia; Muridae. The transcript is spliced from 6 exons.
ACCUGUGGUUCCACAACAGAACAGAGAAGGACAGGAAUUUGGCACCUGUGGCAAAUUUGCCUCCUGCGUUGUCUAGGAAACCUGCGGCUCUUGCCUGUGCCCCCAGAAACCACUGGAGAGAGUCAGGCACAAGGACAUCAAGGUCAUAACGACCUUGGAUCACUCAUACACCAACGAAUGGCACCUGCUACCACUGUGACUGCCACUACCAUCAUCACCCUCACCAUCACUGCCAUCAUCAUUAUCAUCAUCGUGACCAGCAUCAUUAGCAUAACCGUGACUGGCAGCAUCAUGACCACCAACAUCACCAUCAUCACCACUGACAUCAUCGUCACCGUCAUCAUGACCACCACCGCCAACCACCACCACUAUCAUCACCAUCACUACUACCACCACUACCACAUCAAUAUCACAUUAGGAUCAAGAAAAAUGGAACCAGAGAACAUGUAUGUCAAGACCCCUGAAUAAAAGCACAGCAGCAUACAGAACCCAGGCUAAAGGGCAUAAUAAAAGGAGAACACGGUGGCUAGAAAGCACGUAAGCGGGUGAAUGCCCAAUUCGGAGGGAAGUCACUGACGUGACUUCGGGGACGUGGAACCAUGUUGAAGAUUGAACGUUGAGUGCCAUUAAAGUUCACCAAGCACCUGUUCGCAGCAGGUGAUGGCCUAAAGUCACAAUCCUCACCUAUUCUCCAGGCAUGGUGCACACACCAACCUGAACUGAACCCUAACCGCCACCCUGGCCUGGCUUACACAAACAUUGGGGCCCGACUCAGGACAAGCUGUGCACACUUUAAAGUAGUCUGCAACCUCACGGGUUUAGAGGAGCCCGUUCCCGUGAAACCAGCAACUCACAACUUAGAGGGGAAGCCUUCUUGCCUCUCCCUGUGAUCCUCUCUCCUCAAGGAAAAUGGUAAAGCCCGUCCCUCGGUGCCAACCCACGGAUGAGGAGGUGGUGGCACGAAGACUUCUGCUCCAUAGUCUGCCAAACUUGGCCCUGCACAGAACACCUUCACAAUAGGAAGACCAGCUCCUCGGAUAAAUGAAAACUGUCUGUGCUCCUGCCUGCCGGGAGACAAACCCUGGCCAGCCUGUUCCUGCUCAACCCGAGUACUGAAAUGCCUCCAGUUGGUUCCUAUUUCAUUAAAAGUCCAUGAAGGGAGAAACAAGAGCUCCUGGAAGACACAGACCGUGCAGCAUCUCUCAAACUUUUUGAUACAGGCGAGACGGGUUGUGAGCAAAUGUCACCUAACUGGGUUUCUCCCUUACCUACGCCAGUGCAGAAGCCAGUGUCCACCAACAUACACACAACAGACCCGGGUUAGGUAGGAAAGCCAGCCACUUGGCAUGGUUCUCGAAAAUUCAACCACCUCAGUAUGAACGAGGCUAGUGCCCUCUCCCAGGUCAGCUCUGCAGUGCCAUCAAAUCCCCCCACCAAAGACAGACACUGUGAGGACCAGGAACGCCUCCCUGAAAAGGGCAAUCCCGGUUCAAGACGGGACUAUUCCCAACACAGGCCAGGAAGUUCCGUCUUUCCGUGUGCUCCACUGCCCAGCAAACCCAGAUUUCCCUUGGCAAGAGCCGGGUCUCUGGAGCUUUGAGCUCUGGAAGAGGAAG